GGGCGGUUAGCUCAGCGGUAGAGCACUCGCCUUACAAGCGAGGGGUCACUGGUUCGAACCCAGUACCGCCCACCC
This 75-nucleotide transfer RNA is filed under the name Nonomuraea pusilla. RNAcentral's name for it is "tRNA_Val_TAC". It matches the Rfam family "tRNA". Rfam says of the family: Transfer RNA (tRNA) molecules are approximately 80 nucleotides in length. Lineage: Bacteria; Bacillati; Actinomycetota; Actinomycetes; Streptosporangiales; Streptosporangiaceae. The record is from RNAcentral.